RNAcentral lists this non-coding RNA (241 nucleotides) under Mycobacterium avium. The record is from RNAcentral. Lineage: Bacteria; Bacillati; Actinomycetota; Actinomycetes; Mycobacteriales; Mycobacteriaceae. RNAcentral also lists the same sequence under 1 other name.
AUCGAGCGAAGCAACGUUAGUAACGCUUCGUAAGAGGGAACCCGGUGAGAAUCCGGGACUGUCCCGCAACGGUAUGCAGGAACGACCGCCGUCACCAGCACUGGUCGCAAGACUGGGAAGCGACGGCCACUAGGAACUGCCCGGCUCCUCGGCGGCCCUUCGGGACCGCAUCGUCGGCCGGGCACGCACCACCCGGUGCGCGCCUGCGAGUCCGGAGACCUGCCAGCUGUGCCGGGCGCGC